Molecule: ribosomal RNA, 447 nt
Filed under: uncultured bacterium
Lineage: Bacteria
Description: bacterial SSU rRNA
Rfam family: Bacterial small subunit ribosomal RNA
Source: RNAcentral
UCGGGAAUUUUGGGCAAUGGGCGAAAGCCUGACCCAGCAACGCCGCGUGAAGGAUGAGGUAUUUCGGUAUGUAAACUUCGAAAGAGUAGGAAGAAUAAAUGACGGUACUAUUUGUAAGGUCCGGCUAACUACGUGCCAGCAGCCGCGGUAAUACGUAGGGACCAAGCGUUGUUCGGAUUUACUGGGCGUAAAGGGCGCGUAGGCGGUGUGUCAAGUCAGUUGUGAAAUCUCCGAGCUUAACUCGGAACGGUCAACUGAUACUGUCACACUAGAGUACAGAAGGGGCAAUCGGAAUUCUUGGUGUAGCGGUGAAAUGCGUAGAUAUCAAGAGGAACACCUGAGGCGAAGGCGGGUUGCUGGGCUGAUACUGACGCUGAGGCGCGAAAGCUAGGGUAGCAAACGGGAUUAGAUACCCCCGUAGUCCCUGAGCGGGCUGGCAAGGCGCAU